This 338-nucleotide ribosomal RNA is filed under the name Pinnularia borealis complex sp. RNAcentral describes it as "partial 28S ribosomal RNA". It matches the Rfam family "Eukaryotic large subunit ribosomal RNA", at positions 266 to 652 of the family's 3401-position model. Lineage: Eukaryota; Bacillariophyta; Bacillariophyceae; Sellaphorales; Pinnulariaceae. The record is from RNAcentral.
AGAGUUGUUUGGGAUUGCAGCUCCAAUUGUACGGUGGUAAAUUCCAUCUCAAGCUAAAUAUUGGCGGGGGACCGAUAGCGUACAAGUACCGUGAGGGAAAGAUGCAAAGAACUUUGAAAAGAGAGUGAAAGAGUACCUGAAAUUGCUGAAAAGGAAGCGAACGAAGCUAGUGAAAGCUGCGUCAUACUUUCCAACUUGCUUGCAAUUUGGACGCUGUGGCCAGCCCAGUUGAGCUUGAUUGCAACAGGUGAAAGCAGGUAAAGAAAAGACUCCAUUUUCUCUCGCCCUACAUGCACCUAUUACAUUUGAGGUCAACGAAAUAGCUUUGUUUGCCCCGU